ACUGUAUUGGUCUUUUCUGUCUUGCAGUAGAAACAAAAGACAAAGGUUUUGAGCAUAUUCUUAAGUUUUCCUCACAAUGUGCUCUAAUGUUUAAUGGAGAAAAACACAAAUAGAAGAUCUCUGGUGUAACUGAACAAGGUCAGCAGGCACAGGAUGCUUGGGAAGUGCUGUGAUGAAGAGUUUAAAAGAGCUCACUAGCACUGUCUUUUAAUAAUUUGGAUACCAGGUUGCUUCACUGAAGUUCUGAGUAUAUCCUGGUGUCAAGGGAAGAGGAGAGUUCCUUCAGCAUUUGGCAAAAUACUUCAAUUGGAAGGGACACCUGGAGCCAUCCAAACCAACCUUCUGCUCAAGGCUGGACUGACUUCAAAGAUGAGUCCUCUGAGGUUAUCAGCUCUGGAAUGAAAUAUAUCAUAGCUGGUUCUACCAAUCCUCCCUAUUGGAACACAAGCCAGCAUAUCACACCCUGUAAAGGUGUGCUGGAAAACUUUUGGGAAAGGAGGCUGUGGAUGACAUACAAAAGGUUUCCAGUUUUCAACACAGUUGACAUAGAUGACAGGACAAAGGAGCAUACAUGGAAAGAAGAUGAAAAUUCAGAACAGAUGUCAGGAAGCAUUUUUCAUGCUCAACGUGCACAGUUGCCAACCAGGACAGGGAAAGCAAAGGGACCAGAAAACAAAGGACCAGAAGGAAAUCUUUAUGCCACAUACAUCCAUAUUAAUUUAAAAAUUACUGUUUCCUAUCAGGAACCUUUUAGUUCUUUCACCUUUGCACUUCUGAAAAUAUCAAUUUCCUGCCUUACUUUUCAACACCUUUUAUCCUUUGCUGUCAUAUUCAAGGCUAUUCUUCACUUCCACAACUUUGACAUUAUUAGCAGCAACAGAUUUGAAUUCAGAUUCAGUAUUUGAUUCAAAAAACAGAAGACAAAGCAUGAAAAGAGAAUUAAACAUUUUUAUAUAAAUGAACUAUUUGCAUUCCUUCUUA
This is a long non-coding RNA of Zonotrichia leucophrys gambelii, 981 nucleotides long. RefSeq lists it as uncharacterized. The transcript has 6 exons. The record is from RefSeq and is a predicted model, not a curated record. Lineage: Eukaryota; Metazoa; Chordata; Aves; Passeriformes; Passerellidae.